AACGAACGCUGGCGGCAUGCCUUACACAUGCAAGUCGAACGGCAGCACGGGAGUAAUCCUGGUGGCGAGUGGCGAACGGGUGAGUAAAGUAUCGGAACGUGCCCAGUCGUGGGGGAUAACGUAGCGAAAGUUACGCUAAUACCGCAUACGAUCUAUGGAUGAAAGCGGGGGAUCGCAAGACCUCGCGCGAUUGGAGCGGCCGAUAUCAGAUUAGGUAGUUGGUGGGGUAAAGGCUCACCAAGCCGACGAUCUGUAGCUGGUCUGAGAGGACGACCAGCCACACUGGGACUGAGACACGGCCCAGACUCCUACGGGAGGCAGCAGUGGGGAAUUUUGGACAAUGGGCGAAAGCCUGAUCCAGCCAUGCCGCGUGCAGGAUGAAGGCCUUCGGGUUGUAAACUGCUUUUGUACGGAACGAAAAGGUUUGGCCUAAUAAGCUGAGCUCAUGACGGUACCGUAAGAAUAAGCACCGGCUAACUACGUGCCAGCCGCCGCCGUAA
This 500-nucleotide ribosomal RNA is filed under the name uncultured bacterium. RNAcentral's name for it is "partial 16S ribosomal RNA". It matches the Rfam family "Bacterial small subunit ribosomal RNA", at positions 29 to 523 of the family's 1533-position model. The record is from RNAcentral.